Molecule: ribosomal RNA, 513 nt
Filed under: uncultured bacterium
Lineage: Bacteria
Description: bacterial SSU rRNA
Rfam family: Bacterial small subunit ribosomal RNA
Source: RNAcentral
GAUCAUGGCUCAGGAUGAACGCUAGCGACAGGCUUAACACAUGCAAGUCGAGGGGCAGCACGGGAGUAGCAAUACAACUGGUGGCGACCGGCGCACGGGUGAGUAACGCGUAUGCAACCUACCUAUCAGAGGGGAAUAACCCGGCGAAAGUCGGACUAAUACCGCAUAAAACAGGGGCACCGCAUGGUGAUAUUUGUUAAAGAAAUUCGCUGAUAGAUGGGCAUGCGUUCCAUUAGGUAGUUGGUGAGGUAACGGCUCACCAAGCCGACGAUGGAUAGGGAACUGAGAGGUUGGUCCCCCACACUGGUACUGAGACACGGACCAGACUCCUACGGGAGGCAGCAGUGAGGAAUAUUGGUCAAUGGGCGAGAGCCUGAACCAGCCAAGUCGCGUGAAGGAAGAAGGAUCUAUGGUUACGUAAACUUCUUUUGCGAGGGGAAUAAAGUGCGGGACGUGUCCUGUUUUGUAUGUACCCUGAGAAUAAGGAUCGGCUAACUCCGUGCCAGCCGCAGC